RNAcentral lists this ribosomal RNA (421 nucleotides) under Clostridioides difficile. RNAcentral's name for it is "bacterial SSU rRNA". It matches the Rfam family "Bacterial small subunit ribosomal RNA", at positions 1 to 431 of the family's 1533-position model. The record is from RNAcentral. Lineage: Bacteria; Bacillati; Bacillota; Clostridia; Peptostreptococcales; Peptostreptococcaceae.
UUAUUUGAGAGUUUGAUCCUGGCUCAGGAUGAACGCUGGCGGCGUGCCUAACACAUGCAAGUUGAGCGAUUUACUUCGGUAAAGAGCGGCGGACGGGUGAGUAACGCGUGGGUAACCUACCCUGUACACACGGAUAACAUACCGAAAGGUAUGCUAAUACGGGAUAAUAUAUUUGAGAGGCAUCUCUUAAAUAUCAAAGGUGAGCCAGUACAGGAUGGACCCGCGUCUGAUUAGCUAGUUGGUAAGGUAACGGCUUACCAAGGCGACGAUCAGUAGCCGACCUGAGAGGGUGAUCGGCCACAUUGGAACUGAGACACGGUCCAAACUCCUACGGGAGGCAGCAGUGGGGAAUAUUGCACAAUGGGCGAAAGCCUGAUGCAGCAACGCCGCGUGAGUGAUGAAGGCCUUCGGGUCGUAAAAC